AUGACACCCAUCCUCAUCUCAAUGCUCGUGAUGAUACUCACAUUCGGAGGAAUCAGAGCCCAGACAGUGACCCAGCCAGAGGAACACAUCGCUGUCUUUGAAGGGGCCCUGGUGCAGGUGAAGUGCAACUACUCCUAUACGGGGAGCCCUGUGCUCUUCUGGUAUGUCCAGUACCCUGGACAAGGCCUCCAGGUCCUCCUGAAACAAAUCUCAAGGGAUAGCGCCAAAGGAUUCACAGCUGCUCUCGACAGAGGGGAGAAAUCCUUCCACCUGCAGAAACCCUCAGCUUAUCUGGACGACUCAGCCACAUACUACUGUGCUCUGAGUGCACAGCAACUGCGCUUGCAGGGGAAGCUGAGCAAAAACCCUUCAGAGUGA
This is a non-coding RNA of Urocitellus parryii (Arctic ground squirrel), 378 nucleotides long. NCBI's taxonomy places the organism in Eukaryota, Metazoa, Chordata, Mammalia, Rodentia, Sciuridae. The record is from the annotation of a RefSeq genome assembly.